Molecule: ribosomal RNA, 468 nt
Filed under: uncultured bacterium
Lineage: Bacteria
Description: partial 16S ribosomal RNA
Rfam family: Bacterial small subunit ribosomal RNA
Source: RNAcentral
GACGAACGCUGGCGGCGUGCUUAACACAUGCAAGUCGAACGGAAAGGCCCUGCUUUUGUGGGGUGCUCGAGUGGCGAAAGGGUGAGUAACACGUGAGUAACCUGCCCUUGACUUUGGGAUAACUUCAGGAAACUGGGGCUAAUACCCGAUAGGAGCUCCUGCUGCAUGGUGGGGGUUGGAAAGUUUCGGCGGUUGGGGAUGGACUCGCGGCUUAUCAGCUUGUUGGUGGGGUAGUGGCUUACCAAGGCUUUGACGGGUAGCCGGCCUGAGAGGGUGACCGGCCACACUGGGACUGAGAUACGGCCCAGACUCCUACGGGAGGCAGCAGUGGGGAAUAUUGCACAAUGGGCGGAAGCCUGAUGCAGCAACGCCGCGUGCGGGAUGACGGCCUUCGGGUUGUAAACCGCUUUCGCCUGUGACGAAGCGUGAGUGACGGUAAUGGGUAAAGAAGCACCGGCUAACUACGUG